RNAcentral lists this long non-coding RNA (784 nucleotides) under Homo sapiens (human). RNAcentral's name for it is "PCBP1 antisense RNA 1". Lineage: Eukaryota; Metazoa; Chordata; Mammalia; Primates; Hominidae. The record is from RNAcentral.
AUGACUCGCCUCCUCUCAGUGACCACAGGUUGGUUGAGGGGUUUAACAAGGCUAAGAAGGUGAGACGUGGUCUUGUAACACAGUGGUUAAGAAUGUGACUUUGGAGCCAGCCUGCUAGGGGCUGAAUUCUGACUCAGCCAUUUACUAACUGUGUGACCUUAGGGAGGAGGACCUGGUUGAUAGAAGAAUUUAUCUCGUAGUCUUAACAUCCACUGUAAUUCCAAACUUUGAGGACGAUAGAGAUCAGUGGGCUUUGACUGCCCAGCAUGCAGUCUCCAUUCUUAGGUCACAGAAUUUUCCACACUCCUUGACAGAGGUGCUUAACCCUUAUCCAUCAGCAUUCUCAGACAGCACCUCCGGUUAGGGACAGUAUCUGACCGUCCGACAUCCCUGCAGCCCCCAUGUGUCACACAGACUCAGCCUCAGGUAGAUGGUUUCCGUAGAUGGUGGCUUUCUUUGGACCCUUGACAUCAACCAGUUACUAUUUGCUCAGCAAGGCCCACAUUUUCCCGGUGAAGCCACAGAACCACAGGGAGAAACCCAUGGACUUCGCCUCUCUCUCUAGGGGACCAGAUGUGCAGAGGUAAUGAAUACCAGGGAAUCAGGAAACCACUGGAUCAGUUCUUUGAGCCACAGAACAACACUCAUCCCAGCAGCUGGGAAGCUAUCUGCAAAAGUCCAUCUGCAGAAAGGGCUUCCUGGUCUUGCGUGUGGCUGGGCCAUUUCUCUGGAUGCAGGUUUUUCAUUAUACAGUCUUCUCAAAGAACCACCUGCUCUCAACACC